GUGCCCACUUUGGCAGCACACAUAUUAAGAUUGGAGUGAUCCAGAGAAGAUUAGCAUGGCCCCUGCAGAAAGAUGACAAACAUCUGUGAAGCAGAUGUGACUGUG
This 105-nucleotide small nuclear RNA is filed under the name Sciurus vulgaris (Eurasian red squirrel). The record is from RNAcentral. Lineage: Eukaryota; Metazoa; Chordata; Mammalia; Rodentia; Sciuridae.